CAGCCACACAUCCAUCAGACAUCCAACAGACAUCCAUCAGACACAAUACACUUCUUUCACCACUAUAUUUGUGCUGUUUAAUCACUGAUUGAAUCUUACCCACCAUCCUGAUAAAGUGGCAACAUGUGCAAACUCACUCUAACUGCAGGUCUCUGUUUGAUCAUCGCCAGCUUGGGUUAUCCUGGCCUCACGGAUACAGCUGCAGUGCUGCCAAACC
Molecule: long non-coding RNA, 217 nt
Organism: Perca flavescens (yellow perch)
Lineage: Eukaryota; Metazoa; Chordata; Actinopteri; Perciformes; Percidae
Exons: 5
Source: RefSeq, a predicted model, not a curated record